This 1840-nucleotide ribosomal RNA is filed under the name Escherichia coli. RNAcentral describes it as "partial 23S ribosomal RNA". It matches the Rfam family "Bacterial large subunit ribosomal RNA", at positions 1 to 1867 of the family's 2925-position model. The record is from RNAcentral. Lineage: Bacteria; Pseudomonadati; Pseudomonadota; Gammaproteobacteria; Enterobacterales; Enterobacteriaceae.
GGUUAAGCGACUAAGCGUACACGGUGGAUGCCCUGGCAGUCAGAGGCGAUGAAGGACGUGCUAAUCUGCGAUAAGCGUCGGUAAGGUGAUAUGAACCGUUAUAACCGGCGAUUUCCGAAUGGGGAAACCCAGUGUGUUUCGACACACUAUCAUUAACUGAAUCCAUAGGUUAAUGAGGCGAACCGGGGGAACUGAAACAUCUAAGUACCCCGAGGAAAAGAAAUCAACCGAGAUUCCCCCAGUAGCGGCGAGCGAACGGGGAGCAGCCCAGAGUCUGAAUCAGUGUGUGUGUUAGUGGAAGCGUCUGGAAAGGCGCGCGAUACAGGGUGACAGCCCCGUACACAAAAAUGCACAUAUUGUGAGCUCGAUGAGUAGGGCGGGACACGUGGUAUCCUGUCUGAAUAUGGGGGGACCAUCCUCCAAGGCUAAAUACUCCUGACUGACCGAUAGUGAACCAGUACCGUGAGGGAAAGGCGAAAAGAACCCCGGCGAGGGGAGUGAAAAAGAACCUGAAACCGUGUACGUACAAGCAGUGGGAGCCUCUUUUAUGGGGUGACUGCGUACCUUUUGUAUAAUGGGUCAGCGACUUAUAUUCUGUAGCAAGGUUAACCGAAUAGGGGAGCCGAAGGGAAACCGAGUCUUAACUGGGCGUUAAGUUGCAGGGUAUAGACCCGAAACCCGGUGAUCUAGCCAUGGGCAGGUUGAAGGUUGGGUAACACUAACUGGAGGACCGAACCGACUAAUGUUGAAAAAUUAGCGGAUGACUUGUGGCUGGGGGUGAAAGGCCAAUCAAACCGGGAGAUAGCUGGUUCUCCCCGAAAGCUAUUUAGGUAGCGCCUCGUGAAUUCAUCUCCGGGGGUAGAGCACUGUUUCGGCAAGGGGGUCAUCCCGACUUACCAACCCGAUGCAAACUGCGAAUACCGGAGAAUGUUAUCACGGGAGACACACGGCGGGUGCUAACGUCCGUCGUGAAGAGGGAAACAACCCAGACCGCCAGCUAAGGUCCCAAAGUCAUGGUUAAGUGGGAAACGAUGUGGGAAGGCCCAGACAGCCAGGAUGUUGGCUUAGAAGCAGCCAUCAUUUAAAGAAAGCGUAAUAGCUCACUGGUCGAGUCGGCCUGCGCGGAAGAUGUAACGGGGCUAAACCAUGCACCGAAGCUGCGGCAGCGACACUGUGUGUUGUUGGGUAGGGGAGCGUUCUGUAAGCCUGUGAAGGUGUGCUGUGAGGCAUGCUGGAGGUAUCAGAAGUGCGAAUGCUGACAUAAGUAACGAUAAAGCGGGUGAAAAGCCCGCUCGCCGGAAGACCAAGGGUUCCUGUCCAACGUUAAUCGGGGCAGGGUGAGUCGACCCCUAAGGCGAGGCCGAAAGGCGUAGUCGAUGGGAAACAGGUUAAUAUUCCUGUACUUGGUGUUACUGCGAAGGGGGGACGGAGAAGGCUAUGUUGGCCGGGCGACGGUUGUCCCGGUUUAAGCGUGUAGGCUGGUUUUCCAGGCAAAUCCGGAAAAUCAAGGCUGAGGCGUGAUGACGAGGCACUACGGUGCUGAAGCAACAAAUGCCCUGCUUCCAGGAAAAGCCUCUAAGCAUCAGGUAACAUCAAAUCGUACCCCAAACCGACACAGGUGGUCAGGUAGAGAAUACCAAGGCGCUUGAGAGAACUCGGGUGAAGGAACUAGGCAAAAUGGUGCCGUAACUUCGGGAGAAGGCACGCUGAUAUGUAGGUGAAGUCCCUCGCGGAUGGAGCUGAAAUCAGUCGAAGAUACCAGCUGGCUGCAACUGUUUAUUAAAAACACAGCACUGUGCAAACACGAAAGUGGACGUAUACGGUGUGACGCCUGCCCGGU